RNAcentral lists this ribosomal RNA (373 nucleotides) under uncultured organism. Its description in RNAcentral is "bacterial SSU rRNA". It matches the Rfam family "Bacterial small subunit ribosomal RNA", at positions 526 to 896 of the family's 1533-position model. The record is from RNAcentral.
CAGAGGUCCCGAGCGUUGUUCGGAUUCACUGGGCGUAAAGGGUGCGUAGGUGGUGAGGUAAGUCGGAUGUGAAAUCUCCGGGCUCAACCCGGAAAUGGCAUUGGAAACUGCCUUGCUAGAGGAUUUGAGGGGGGGAUUGGAAUACUUGGUGUAGCAGUGAAAUGCGUAGAUAUCAAGUGGAACACCAGUGGCGAAGGCGAAUCCCUGGAAAAUACCUGACACUGAGGCACGAAAGCUAGGGGAGCAAACAGGAUUAGAUACCCUGGUAGUCCUAGCCCUAAACGGUGCUUGCUUGCUGUAAGUGGAAUCGACCCCACUUGUGGCGGAGCUAACGCGUUAAGCAAGCCGCCUGGGAAGUACGGUCGCAAGAUUG